RNAcentral lists this ribosomal RNA (356 nucleotides) under uncultured bacterium. RNAcentral's name for it is "bacterial SSU rRNA". It matches the Rfam family "Bacterial small subunit ribosomal RNA", at positions 8 to 353 of the family's 1533-position model. The record is from RNAcentral.
AGAGUUUGAUCCUGGCUCAGGAUGAACGCUAGCUACAGGCUUAACACAUGCAAGUCGAGGGGAAACGAUAUUGGAAGCUUGCUUCCGAUAGGCGUCGACCGGCGCACGGGUGAGUAACGCGUAUCCAACCUGCCCACCACUUGGGGAUAACCUUGCGAAAGUAAGACUAAUACCCAAUGAUAUCUCUAGAAGACAUCUGAAAGAGAUUAAAGAUUUAUCGGUGAUGGAUGGGGAUGCGUCUGAUUAGCUUGUUGGCGGGGUAACGGCCCACCAAGGCGACGAUCAGUAGGGGUUCUGAGAGGAAGGUCCCCCACAUUGGGACUGAGACACGGCCCAGACUCCUACGGGAGGCAGCA